RNAcentral lists this ribosomal RNA (379 nucleotides) under uncultured eukaryote. RNAcentral's name for it is "partial 18S ribosomal RNA". It matches the Rfam family "Eukaryotic small subunit ribosomal RNA", at positions 592 to 976 of the family's 1831-position model. The record is from RNAcentral.
CAAUAGCGUAUAUUAAAGUUGUUGCAGUUAAAAAGCUCGUAGUUGGAUCUCGGGUCCAGGCUUGUGGUGCAGCUUAGGCUGCUGACCGCUCGUCCUGACCUCCCUCCCGGUUUUCCCUUGGUGCUCUUAAGUGAGUGUCUUGGGUGGCCGGAACGUUUACUUUGAAAAAAUUAGAGUGCUCAAAGCAGGCUUUCGCCUGAAUAUUAGUGCAUGGAAUAAUUGAAUAGGACCUCGGUUCUAUUUUGUUGGUUUUCGGAACUCGAGGUAAUGAUUAAGAGGGACAGACGGGGGCAUUCGUAUUACGGUGUUAGAGGUGAAAUUCUUGGAUCGCCGUAAGACGAACUACUGCGAAAGCAUUUGCCAAGCAUGUUUUCAUUAG